GUCUUCUUGAUAAUAUUUUGAAGUCUAGUCUGCUCACUGAUAAUUAUUUAAAUAGCCGCGGUAUUUUGACCGUGCAAAGGUAGCAUAAUCAUUAGUCUCUUAAUUAGGGGCUGGUAUGAAUGGCUUGACGAGAAAUUAACUGUCUCUUGAUAAAUUUUGAAAUUUAACUUUUUAGCUAAAAGGCUAAAAUUUUUUUUGAGGACGAGAAGACCCUAUAGAGCUUUACAUAUAAAUUUUAUAUAGGUUUUAGUUUAUUUAUUUAUAAAUAAUGAAUAUGUUUUGUUGGGGUGACAUAAAGAAUAAAUAAACUCUUUAUUAUAAAAUCAUUAAUUUAUGUUAAUUAUUGAUCCAUAAUUUAUGAUCAUAAGAUUAAGUUACCUUAGGGAUAACAGCGUAAUUAAUUUUGAGAGUUCAUAUUGACAAAUUAGAUUGCGACCUCGAUGUUGGAUUAAGAUAAAUUAUAGGUGUAGUAGUCUAUAAAUUAGGUCUGUUCGACCUUUAAAUUCUU
RNAcentral lists this ribosomal RNA (508 nucleotides) under Ateliacris annulicornis. Its description in RNAcentral is "partial 16S ribosomal RNA". It matches the Rfam family "Archaeal large subunit ribosomal RNA", at positions 1911 to 2666 of the family's 2987-position model. The record is from RNAcentral. Lineage: Eukaryota; Metazoa; Arthropoda; Insecta; Orthoptera; Acrididae.